RNAcentral lists this transfer RNA (85 nucleotides) under Felis catus (domestic cat). It matches the Rfam family "tRNA". Rfam says of the family: Transfer RNA (tRNA) molecules are approximately 80 nucleotides in length. Their secondary structure includes four short double-helical elements and three loops (D, anti-codon, and T loops). The record is from Rfam by way of RNAcentral. Lineage: Eukaryota; Metazoa; Chordata; Mammalia; Carnivora; Felidae.
GCCUGGGUGGCUCAGUUGGUUGAGCAUCCGACUUCAGAUCAGGUCGUGAUCUCACGGUUUGUGGGUUCAAGCCCCACGUCGGGCU